AUGAACGCUGGCGGCGUGCCUAAUACAUGCAAGUCGAGCGAACAGACGAGGAGCUUGCUCCUCUGACGUUAGCGGCGGACGGGUGAGUAACACGUGGAUAACCUACCUAUAAGACUGGGAUAACUUCGGGAAACCGGAGCUAAUACCGGAUAAUAUAUUGAACCGCAUGGUUCAAUAGUGAAAGACGGUUUUGCUGUCACUUAUAGAUGGAUCCGCGCCGCAUUAGCUAGUUGGUAAGGUAACGGCUUACCAAGGCAACGAUGCGUAGCCGACCUGAGAGGGUGAUCGGCCACACUGGAACUGAGACACGGUCCAGACUCCUACGGGAGGCAGCAGUAGGGAAUCUUCCGCAAUAGGCGAAAGCCUGACGGAGCAACGCCGCGUGAGUGAUGAAGGUCUUCGGAUCGUAAAACUCUGUUAUUAGGGAAGAACAAAUGUGUAAGUAACUAUGCACGUCUUGACGGUACCUAAUCAGAAAGCCACGGCUAACUACGUGC
This 497-nucleotide ribosomal RNA is filed under the name uncultured bacterium. RNAcentral's name for it is "partial 16S ribosomal RNA". It matches the Rfam family "Bacterial small subunit ribosomal RNA", at positions 29 to 508 of the family's 1533-position model. The record is from RNAcentral.